This 254-nucleotide ribosomal RNA is filed under the name uncultured bacterium. RNAcentral describes it as "partial 16S ribosomal RNA". It matches the Rfam family "Bacterial small subunit ribosomal RNA", at positions 524 to 776 of the family's 1533-position model. The record is from RNAcentral.
UACGUAGGGUGCGAGCGUUGUCCGGAAUUAUUGGGCGUAAAGAGCUCGUAGGCGGUCUGUCGCGUCGAUCGUGAAAACUUGGGGCUUAACCCUGAGCUUGCGGUCGAUACGGGCAUGACUGGAGUUCGGCAGGGGAGACUGGAAUUCCUGGUGUAGCGGUGAAAUGCGCAGAUAUCAGGAGGAACACCGGUGGCGAAGGCAGCUCGCUGGGACGGUACUGACGCUGAGGCGCGAAAGCGUGGGGAGCAAACAGG